UCGCCUGUUUUUUACAAAAACAUCGCCUCUUGAUUAAACAUAAGAGGUCCAGCCUGCCCAGUGACAUAGUUUAACGGCCGCGGUACCCUAACCGUGCGAAGGUAGCAUAAUCACUUGUUCUUUAAAUAGGGACUCGUAUCAACGGCAUCACGAGGGCUAUACUGUCUCCUUUCUCCAAUCAAUGAAACUGAUCUCCCCGUGAAGAAGCGGGGAUUAACCUAUAAGACGAGAAGACCCCAUGGAGCUUCAAACUCAACAUAUACCUCUACGCACUUAAACCACUUUAGCCCAAGAGACCUCUAUGUUAGUUUUGGGUUGGGGGGACCGCGGAGUAAAAAUUAACCUCCACGACAAACGGGCUUUAUGCCCUUAUCCACGAACUACAACUCUAAGAAUCAAUAAACUGAUGUUUAUGACCCGAUUAUUCGAUCAACGAACCAAGUUACCCUGGGGAUAACAGCGCAAUCUACUUCAAGAGCCCCUAUCGACAAGUAGGUUUACGACCUCGAUGUUGGAUCAGGGUAUCCUAGUGGUGCAGCCGCUACUAAUGGUUCGUUUGUUCAACGAUUAAAACCCUACGUGAUCUGAUUCCCAGACCGGA
Molecule: ribosomal RNA, 601 nt
Filed under: Pelophylax nigromaculatus (dark-spotted frog)
Lineage: Eukaryota; Metazoa; Chordata; Amphibia; Anura; Ranidae
Description: partial large subunit ribosomal RNA
Rfam family: Bacterial large subunit ribosomal RNA
Source: RNAcentral